AUCUCCUACUUUUUGUUUGCACGAGCCUAAACUGCAUAAACCAAAGCUCCUGGCCCGCAAGAGCAUAAACUGUGUAUGGCAAAAUCAUCAUCAAAAUCAUCAUCAAAAUCACCAUAAAAAAAAAAGAAAAUUUAUCGCUCAUUUGAACUACGUUAUGACUUGAUCCUUCCUCAACAGAGGGUACAUAGGCAACUUGAAACGUCAAAACUUCAAGUACAGUCACACCAUCUAAAAAAAUAAUAACAUUUUGAAGAUUGAAGAGCAAAUUCAAGAACAUAAAUACUUUAUUUCUUUGAAAAAAGGAGUCGGCUCCAAAGCCUUAUUACAAAAA
Molecule: long non-coding RNA, 331 nt
Filed under: Malus domestica (apple)
Lineage: Eukaryota; Viridiplantae; Streptophyta; Magnoliopsida; Rosales; Rosaceae
Description: long non-coding RNA (MDOM_LNC003329)
Source: RNAcentral